RNAcentral lists this ribosomal RNA (459 nucleotides) under uncultured bacterium. Its description in RNAcentral is "partial 16S ribosomal RNA". It matches the Rfam family "Bacterial small subunit ribosomal RNA", at positions 338 to 795 of the family's 1533-position model. The record is from RNAcentral.
CCUACGGGUGACAGCAGUGAGGAAUAUUGGUCAAUGGGCGGAAGCCUGAACCAGCCAAGUAGCGUGCAGGAUGACGGCCCUACGGGUUGUAAACCUCUUUUGUCGGAGAACAAAACCCGGGACGUGUCCCGGACUGCGUGUAUCCGAAGAAAAAGCAUCGGCUAACUCCGUGCCAGCAGCCGCGGUAAUACGGAGGAUGCGAGCGUUAUCCGGAUUUAUUGGGUUUAAAGGGUGCGUAGGCGGUCCGUUAAGUCAGCGGUAAAAUUGCGGGGCUCAACCCCGUCGAGCCGUUGAAACUGGCAGACUUGAGUUAGCGAGAAGUACGCGGAAUGCGCGGUGUAGCGGUGAAAUGCAUAGAUAUCGCGCAGAACUCCGAUUGCGAAGGCAGCGUACCGGCGCCAGACUGACGCUGAGGCACGAAAGCGUGGGGAUCGAACAGGAUUAGAUACCCUGGUAGUC